Molecule: non-coding RNA, 21 nt
Filed under: Caenorhabditis elegans
Lineage: Eukaryota; Metazoa; Nematoda; Chromadorea; Rhabditida; Rhabditidae
Source: RNAcentral
UAUAAAUUGGAGAAAAUUGUC